RNAcentral lists this unclassified non-coding RNA (571 nucleotides) under Hevea brasiliensis (rubber tree). Lineage: Eukaryota; Viridiplantae; Streptophyta; Magnoliopsida; Malpighiales; Euphorbiaceae. The record is from RNAcentral.
AUGGAUGUUCGGCAUUUGGAUGGAGUUCUAUGCAACUGAUUACAUAAGACAGGCAGGAGUUGGUACAUUGACCUCUUUGUAAAAAGUAGACUAGAAGCUCAUAAUAUCAGAGAACUAAGAAGUACAGGUGCUUUUAUCAUGGAGAAAAGUCUUGCUAAUACUUCAAUGGCCAAAUAGGAUCAACAAUGACUUUCAAUAAGGUGCAUGUAAUGGUAGUUAUUUCAGAAGGGCACUUUAUGAGGCAUUAUAUAGUAAGAAGUGUAGAUCCCCUCUAUGUUAGAUAAAAGUUGGAGAUGUGAGAGUAUAUGAUUUAGAUUUGGUGCAGUCUACUUCAGAUAUGGUUCCUUUGAUUGGGGAACGUUUAAAGACAGUUUUCAGUAGGCAAAAGAGUUAUGCAAAUCCAAGGUGGAAAGAUGUAGAAUUUGCAAUGGGUGACUAUGUGUUCCUAAGUGUCUCCCUUAUGAAGGGAGUCAUGAGGUUUCGAAAGAAAGGCAAACUGGCACCCUAAUACAUAGGGCCUUUUGAGAUCAAAGACAGAGUAGGAGCAGUUGCCUACUGGCUAGAGUUACCA